GAGUCGACCCCUAAGGCGAGGCUGAAAAGCGUAGUCGAUGGGAAACAGGUUAAUAUUCCUGUACUUGGUGUUACUGCGAAGGGGGGACGGAGAAGGCUAGGCUAGCCGGGCGACGGUUGUCCCGGUUUAAGCGUGUAGGGGGUGUGACCUGGUAAAUCCGGUUGCAUAUCAACCCUGAGGCGUGAUGACGAUGCACUACGGUGCAGAAGUAGUUGAUGCCCUGCUUCCAGGAAAAGCCUCUAAGCUCCAGGUAACAUUGAAUCGUACCCCAAACCGACACAGGUGGUCAGGUAGAGAAUACCAAGGCGCUUGAGAGAACUCGGGUGAAGGAACUAGGCAAAAUGGUGCCGUAACUUCGGGAGAAGGCACGCUGGCAUGUAGGUGAAGUCCCUUGCGGAUGGAGCUGAAGCCAGUCGAAGAUACCAGCUGGCUGCAACUGUUUAAUAAAAACACAGCACUGUGCAAACACGAAAGUGGACGUAUACGGUGUGACGCCUGCCCGGUGCUGGAAGGUUAAUUGAUGGGGUCAGCCGCAAGGCGAAGCUCUUGAUCGAAGCCCCAGUAAACGGCGGCCGUAACUAUAACGGUCCUAAGGUAGCGAAAUUCCUUGUCGGGUAAGUUCCGACCUGCACGAAUGGCGUAAUGAUGGCCAGGCUGUCUCCACCCGAGACUCAGUGAAAUUGAACUCGCUGUGAAGAUGCAGUGUACCCGCGGCAAGACGGAAAGACCCCGUGAACCUUUACUAUAGCUUGACACUGAACAUUGAGCCUUGAUGUGUAGGAUAGGUGGGAGGCUUUGAAGCGUGGACGCCAGUCUGCGUGGAGCCAUCCUUGAAAUACCACCCUUUAAUGUUUGAUGUUCUAACUCGGCCCCAUAAUCUGGGGUGAGGACAGUGUCUGGUGGGUAGUUUGACUGGGGCGGUCUCCUCCCAAAGAGUAACGGAGGAGCACGAAGGUUAGCUAAUCACGGUCGGACAUCGUGAGGUUAGUGCAAAGGCAUAAGCUAGCUUGACUGCGAGAGUGACGGCUCGAGCAGGUACGAAAGUAGGUCUUAGUGAUCCGGUGGUUCUGAAUGGAAGGGCCAUCGCUCAACGGAUAAAAGGUACUCCGGGGAUAACAGGCUGAUACCGCCCAAGAGUUCAUAUCGACGGCGGUGUUUGGCACCUCGAUGUCGGCUCAUCACAUCCUGGGGCUGAAGUAGGUCCCAAGGGUAUGGCUGUUCGCCAUUUAAAGUGGUACGCGAGCUGGGUUUAGAACGUCGUGAGACAGUUCGGUCCCUAUCUGCCGUGGGCGUUGGAAGAUUGAGAGGGGUUGCUCCUAGUACGAGAGGACCGGAGUGAACGCACCACUGGUGUUCGGGUUGUCAUGCCAAUGGCAUUGCCCGGUAGCUAAGUGCGGAAAAGAUAAGCGCUGAAAGCAUCUAAGCGCGAAACUUGCCUCAAGAUGAGUCUUCCCUGGGCCUUUAAGGUCCCUGAAGGAACGUUUAAGACUAAGACGUUGA
This 1500-nucleotide ribosomal RNA is filed under the name Serratia marcescens MC6000. Its description in RNAcentral is "bacterial LSU rRNA". It matches the Rfam family "Bacterial large subunit ribosomal RNA", at positions 1379 to 2856 of the family's 2925-position model. Lineage: Bacteria; Pseudomonadati; Pseudomonadota; Gammaproteobacteria; Enterobacterales; Yersiniaceae. The record is from RNAcentral.